RNAcentral lists this ribosomal RNA (253 nucleotides) under uncultured bacterium. RNAcentral's name for it is "partial 16S ribosomal RNA". It matches the Rfam family "Bacterial small subunit ribosomal RNA", at positions 524 to 776 of the family's 1533-position model. The record is from RNAcentral.
UACGUAGGGUGCGAGCGUUAAUCGGAAUUACUGGGCGUAAAGGGUGCGCAGGCGGUCCUGCAAGUCAGGCGUGAAAUCCCCGGGCUUAACCUGGGAAUGGCACUUGAAACUACGGGACUGGAGUAUGGCAGAGGGAGGUGGAAUUCCACGUGUAGCGGUGAAAUGCGUAGAGAUGUGGAGGAAUACCGAUGGCGAAGGCAGCCCCCUGGGCCAAUACUGACGCUCAUGCACGAAAGCGUGGGGAGCAAACAGG